RNAcentral lists this long non-coding RNA (317 nucleotides) under Manihot esculenta (cassava). Its description in RNAcentral is "long non-coding RNA (MESC_LNC001582)". Lineage: Eukaryota; Viridiplantae; Streptophyta; Magnoliopsida; Malpighiales; Euphorbiaceae. The record is from RNAcentral.
UUCGGUCCACUCAUCACCAUGAGCACCCACAUAUCUGUCUAAAUAUCACAUGUCCUAUGGCAUGAGAUCCACCGCUCUACUAUCAUCAAUAUUACUAUGUUGAUCAGUAGAAGCAAAUAGAGGUGACAUUCUACUUUGGAUGAAUCAUUUUCAAUGAGACAUUCUAUGACUGUGAACAUUUUAUAAUAUUUUCUACAAGUACGUUCCGUCAUUAUAUUCUUAACUCCCUGAGAAUGGAAAACUACCAAAAGCUAAUGGAUAAUAAAUUACAUUUAAUUAUUUAAAAAACUUUUAAUCAAUUAAAUUAUAUAUUAUUU